UGGGGGAUAUUGCGCAAUGGGGGCAACCCUGACGCAGCAACGCCGCGUGAAGGAAGACGGUUUUCGGAUUGUAAACUUCUUUUAUUAAGGACGAAUAAUGACGGUACUUAAUGAAUAAGCUCCGGCUAACUACGUGCCAGCAGCCGCGGUAAUACGUAGGGAGCAAGCGUUAUCCGGAUUUACUGGGUGUAAAGGGUGCGUAGGCGGCUUGGUAAGUCAGAUGUGAAAUGUAUGGGCUCAACCCAUGCACUGCAUUUGAAACUAUCGAGCUUGAGUGAAGUAGAGGUAGGCGGAAUUCCCUGUGUAGCGGUGAAAUGCGUAGAGAUAGGGAGGAACACCAGUGGCGAAGGCGGCCUACUGGGCUUUAACUGACGCUGAGGCACGAAAGCGUGGGUAGCAAACAGG
RNAcentral lists this ribosomal RNA (405 nucleotides) under uncultured bacterium. RNAcentral describes it as "bacterial SSU rRNA". It matches the Rfam family "Bacterial small subunit ribosomal RNA", at positions 355 to 776 of the family's 1533-position model. The record is from RNAcentral.